RNAcentral lists this ribosomal RNA (601 nucleotides) under Staphylococcus aureus. Its description in RNAcentral is "partial 23S ribosomal RNA". It matches the Rfam family "Bacterial large subunit ribosomal RNA", at positions 1603 to 2205 of the family's 2925-position model. Lineage: Bacteria; Bacillati; Bacillota; Bacilli; Caryophanales; Staphylococcaceae. The record is from RNAcentral.
CACUGCCGAGAAAAGCCUCUAGAUAGAAAAUAGGUGCCCGUACCGCAAACCGACACAGGUAGUCAAGAUGAGAAUUCUAAGGUGAGCGAGCGAACUCUCGUUAAGGAACUCGGCAAAAUGACCCCGUAACUUCGGGAGAAGGGGUGCUCUUUAGGGUUAACGCCCAGAAGAGCCGCAGUGAAUAGGCCCAAGCGACUGUUUAUCAAAAACACAGGUCUCUGCUAAACCGUAAGGUGAUGUAUAGGGGCUGACGCCUGCCCGGUGCUGGAAGGUUAAGAGGAGUGGUUAGCUUCUGCGAAGCUACGAAUCGAAGCCCCAGUAAACGGCGGCCGUAACUAUAACGGUCCUAAGGUAGCGAAAUUCCUUGUCGGGUAAGUUCCGACCCGCACGAAAGGCGUAACGAUUUGGGCACUGUCUCAACGAGAGACUCGGUGAAAUCAUAGUACCUGUGAAGAUGCAGGUUACCCGCGACAGGACGGAAAGACCCCGUGGAGCUUUACUGUAGCCUGAUAUUGAAAUUCGGCACAGCUUGUACAGGAUAGGUAGGAGCCUUUGAAACGUGAGCGCUAGCUUACGUGGAGGCGCUGGUGGGAUACUACCC